UUCCGGUUGAUCCUGCCGGACCUGACUGCUAUCGGAUUGAUACUAAGCCAUGCGAGUUUUUGUAGCAAUACAAGGCAUACGGCUCAGUAACACGUAGUCAAUCUAACCUAUGGACGAGGAUAACCUCGGGAAACUGAGAAUAAUACUCGAUAGAUCAUUAUGCCUGGAACGGUUUAUGGUUAAAAUGAAUUUCGCCAUAGGAUGGGACUGCGGUCUAUCAGCUUGUUGGUGAUGUAAUGGACCACCAAGGCUAUAACAGAUACGGGCUCUGAGAGGAGAAGCCCGGAGAUGGGUACUGAAACACGGACCCAGGCCCUAUGGGGCGCAGCAGGCGAGAAAACUUUGCAAUGUGCGAAAGCACGACAAGGUUAAUCCGAGUGAUUCCUGCUAAAGGAAUCUUUUGUUUGUCAUAAAACCACUAAUGAAUAAGAGGUGGGCAAGUUCUGGUGUCAGCCGCCGCGGUAAAACCAGCACCUCAAGUGGUCAGGAUGAUUAUUGGGCCUAAAGCAUCCGUAGCCGGCUCUGUAAGUUUUCGGUUAAAUCCAUAUGCUCAACAUAUGGGCCGCCGGGAAUACUGCAUAGCUAGGGAGUGGGAGAGGUAGACGGUACUCCGUAGGAAGGGGUAAAAUCCUUUGAUCUAUGGAUGACCACCAGUGGCGAAGGCGGUCUACCAGAACACGUUCGACGGUGAGGGAUGAAAGCUGGGGGAGCAAACCGGAUUAGAUACCCGGGUAGUCCCAGCUGUAAACGAUGCAAACUCAGUGAUGCAUUGGCUUGUGGCCAGUGCAGUGCCGCAGAGAAGUCGUUAAGUUUGCCGCCUGGGAAGUACGUACGCAAGUAUGAAACUUAAAGGAAUUGGCGGGGGAGCACCACAAGGGGUGAAGCCUGCGGUUCAAUUGGAGUCAACGCCGGGA
Molecule: ribosomal RNA, 914 nt
Filed under: uncultured crenarchaeote
Lineage: Archaea; Thermoproteati; Thermoproteota
Description: bacterial SSU rRNA
Rfam family: Archaeal small subunit ribosomal RNA
Source: RNAcentral